AGUAUCAGUUAAUUACUUGAAAUCUAAGAUAUAUGGCGGUGUUUUAUCUAUUCAGAGGAACCUGUUUCGUAAUUGAUAGUCCACGAUUUAAUUUACUUUAAAUUAUUAGCUUGUAUAUCGUUGUGAUGGAUUAUUUUAUUAAAAUUAUAAAUGGUCAAUAUUUUUAAUUAAACUUAAAUCAAAUCAAGAUGCAGCUUAUAUUGAAGAGUUUAAUGGGUUACAUUAAAUUUAUUUUUGGUUUAUUAUUUUUGAUUUUAGUAAUAAAUUGGAUUUGAAAGUAAUAAUAUUUAAAUAUUUUUUAUAUUUAGACCUAAAACAUGC
This 321-nucleotide ribosomal RNA is filed under the name Arrhipis sp. asia1 LB-2009. RNAcentral's name for it is "partial 12S ribosomal RNA". Lineage: Eukaryota; Metazoa; Arthropoda; Insecta; Coleoptera; Eucnemidae. The record is from RNAcentral.